UACAGAGGUCCCGAGCGUUGUUCGGAUUCACUGGGCGUAAAGGGUGCGUAGGUGGCAUGGUAAGUUUGAUGUGAAAGCUCAGGGCUCAACCCUGAAAUGGCAUUAAAUACUACUGUGCUGGAGGUUUGGAGGGGGGACUGGAAUUCUUGGUGUAGCAGUGAAAUGCGUAGAUAUCAAGAGGAACACCAGUGGCGAAGGCGAGUCCCUGGACAACACCUGACACUGAGGCACGAAAGCUAGGGGAGCAAACAGG
This 253-nucleotide ribosomal RNA is filed under the name uncultured bacterium. RNAcentral describes it as "partial 16S ribosomal RNA". It matches the Rfam family "Bacterial small subunit ribosomal RNA", at positions 524 to 776 of the family's 1533-position model. The record is from RNAcentral.